ACAUGCGGCCACAGACUAAGGAGAAUUGGGCAUCCCGUCCGCUCUGCCAUACACAAGCCUUAGAUCGGCAGAUUAGUAGUUGGGUGGGUGACCACCAGCGAAUACCUGCUGUUGUAUUGU
This is a ribosomal RNA of Glarea lozoyensis 74030, 120 nucleotides long. The record is from Rfam. NCBI's taxonomy places the organism in Eukaryota, Fungi, Ascomycota, Leotiomycetes, Helotiales, Helotiaceae.